UGCAUGAAGUUGGAAUCGCUAGUAAUCGCGGAUCAGCAUGCCGCGGUGAAUACGUUCCCGGGCCUUGUACACACCGCCCGUCACACCAUGAGAGUCGGGAACACCCGAAGUCCGUAGCCUAACCGCAAGGGGGCGCGGCCGAAGGUGGGUUCGAUAAUUGGGGUGAAGUCGUAACAAGGUAAC
RNAcentral lists this ribosomal RNA (183 nucleotides) under uncultured bacterium. RNAcentral describes it as "partial 16S ribosomal RNA". It matches the Rfam family "Bacterial small subunit ribosomal RNA", at positions 1317 to 1500 of the family's 1533-position model. The record is from RNAcentral.